AUUGAACGCUGGCGGAAUGCUUUACACAUGCAAGUCGAACGGCAGCACGGACUUCGGUCUGGUGGCGAGUGGCGAACGGGUGAGUAAUGUAUCGGAACGUGCCCAGUCGUGGGGGAUAACGUAGUGAAAAUUACGCUAAUACCGCAUACGAUCUAUGGAUGAAAGCGGGGGAUCGCAAGACCUCGCGCGAUUGGAGCGGCCGAUAUCAGAUUAGGUAGUUGGUGGGGUAAAGGCCCACCAAGCCAACGAUCUGUAGCAGGUCUGAGAGGACGACCAGCCACACUGGAACUGAGACACGGUCCAGACGCCUACGGGAGGCAGCAGUGGGGAAUUUUGGACAAUGGGCGAAAGCCUGAUUCAGCCAUUCCGCGUGCAGGAUGAAGGCCCUCGGGUUGUAAACUGCUUUUGUACAGAACGAAAAGGUUUCUACUAAUACUAGGAGCUCAUGACGGUACUGUAAGAAUAAGCACCGGCUAACUACGUGCCAGCCGCCGCGGUAA
Molecule: ribosomal RNA, 500 nt
Filed under: uncultured bacterium
Lineage: Bacteria
Description: partial 16S ribosomal RNA
Rfam family: Bacterial small subunit ribosomal RNA
Source: RNAcentral